RNAcentral lists this microRNA precursor (66 nucleotides) under Bombyx mori (domestic silkworm). Its description in RNAcentral is "mir-2774 microRNA precursor family". It matches the Rfam family "mir-2774 microRNA precursor family". The record is from Rfam by way of RNAcentral. Lineage: Eukaryota; Metazoa; Arthropoda; Insecta; Lepidoptera; Bombycidae.
AUAACAUUCGGACCGUCGGUCUACCGAGCAAUUUCAUCAGGUCGGUGGAAAAUGUUCCGUUGUCUU